CCUACGGGAGGCAGCAGUGAGGAAUAUUGGUCAAUGGACGAGAGUCUGAACCAGCCAAGUAGCGUGAAGGAUGACUGCCCUAUGGGUUGUAAACUUCUUUUAUAUGGGAAUAAAAUGUUCCACGUGUGGGAUUUUGUAUGUACCAUAUGAAUAAGGAUCGGCUAACUCCGUGCCAGCAGCCGCGGUAAUACGGAGGAUCCGAGUGUUAUCCGGAUUUAUUGGGUUUAAAGGGAGCGUAGGUGGAUUGUUAAGUCAGUUGUGAAAGUUUGCGGCUCAACCGUAAAAUUGCAGUUGAAACUGGCAGUCUUGAGUACAGUAGAGGUGGGCGGAAGUCGUGGUGUAGCGGUGAAAUGCUUAGAUAUCACGAAGAACUCCGAUUGCGAAGGCAGUUCACUGGACUGCAACUGACACUGAGGCUCGAAAGUGUGGGUAUCAAACAGGAUUAGAUACCCCAGUAGUC
This 460-nucleotide ribosomal RNA is filed under the name uncultured bacterium. RNAcentral describes it as "partial 16S ribosomal RNA". It matches the Rfam family "Bacterial small subunit ribosomal RNA", at positions 338 to 795 of the family's 1533-position model. The record is from RNAcentral.